RNAcentral lists this ribosomal RNA (465 nucleotides) under Vreelandella stevensii. Its description in RNAcentral is "partial 16S ribosomal RNA". It matches the Rfam family "Bacterial small subunit ribosomal RNA", at positions 338 to 795 of the family's 1533-position model. The record is from RNAcentral. Lineage: Bacteria; Pseudomonadati; Pseudomonadota; Gammaproteobacteria; Oceanospirillales; Halomonadaceae.
CCUACGGGGGGCAGCAGUGGGGAAUAUUGGACAAUGGGGGCAACCCUGAUCCAGCCAUGCCGCGUGUGUGAAGAAGGCCCUCGGGUUGUAAAGCACUUUCAGUGAGGAAGAACGCCUGGUGGUUAAUACCCAUCAGGAAAGACAUCACUCACAGAAGAAGCACCGGCUAACUCCGUGCCAGCAGCCGCGGUAAUACGGAGGGUGCGAGCGUUAAUCGGAAUUACUGGGCGUAGAGCGCGCGUAGGUGGCUUGAUAAGCCGGUUGUGAAAGCCCCGGGCUCAACCUGGGAAUGGCAUCCGGAACUGUCAAGCUAGAGUGCAGGAGAGGAAGGUAGAAUUCCCGGUGUAGCGGUGAAAUGCGUAGAGAUCGGGAGGAAUACCAGUGGCGAAGGCGGCCUUCUGGACUGACACUGACACUGAGGUGCGAAAGCGUGGGUAGCAAACAGGAUUAGAUACCCUUGUAGUC